RNAcentral lists this ribosomal RNA (729 nucleotides) under uncultured archaeon. RNAcentral's name for it is "bacterial SSU rRNA". It matches the Rfam family "Archaeal small subunit ribosomal RNA", at positions 52 to 786 of the family's 1478-position model. The record is from RNAcentral.
UGCGAGUCGAGAGUCUUAGGGACUCGGCGUACCGCUCAGUAACACGUGGGUAACCUGCCCUAUGCUGGGGGAUAACCUCGGGAAACUGAGAAUAAUACCCCAUAGUUCACCACGCCUGGAACGGUGGGUGGACCAAAGCUCCGGCGGCAUAGGAUGGGCCUGCGACGUAUCAGGUUGUAGGGGGUGUAACGUACCCUCUAGCCAUCAACGCGUACGGGUGUUGGGAGACAUAGCCCGGAGAUGGAUUCUGAGACACGAAUCCAGACCCUACGGGGUGCAGCAGGCGCGAAACCUUGGCAAUGCGAGCAAUCGUGACCAGGGAACUCCAAGUGGCUGGGGUAAGACCCAGUUUUUUCUUGACUCUUCAAAGGUCUUGGAAUAAGGGGUGGGUAAGGACGGUGCCAGCCGCCGCGGUAAUACCGGCGCCUCAAGUGGUAGUCGCUUUUAUUGGGCCUAAAACGUCCGUAGCCGGUCUGGUACAUUCGUGGGUAAAUCAACCCGCUCAACGGGUUGAAUUCUGCGAGCACGGCCAGACUUGGGACCGGGAGAGGUGUGGGGUACUCUCAGGGUAGGGGUAAAAUCCUGUCAUCCUGAGAGGACCACCUGUUGCGAAGGCGCCACACUAGAACGGAUUCGACGGUCAGGGACGAAACCUAGGGGCACGAACCGGAUUAGAUACCCGGGUAGUCCUAGGUGUAAACGCUGUGGACUUGAUGUUGGGGGCGCUCC